GUGGCUUAGUGGUAAAGUGCUUGCCUAACAUGCAUGAGGCUCUGGGUUCGAUUCCUUGGUAUCACA
Molecule: transfer RNA, 66 nt
Filed under: Dipodomys ordii (Ord's kangaroo rat)
Lineage: Eukaryota; Metazoa; Chordata; Mammalia; Rodentia; Heteromyidae
Rfam family: tRNA
About the family: Transfer RNA (tRNA) molecules are approximately 80 nucleotides in length. Their secondary structure includes four short double-helical elements and three loops (D, anti-codon, and T loops).
Source: Rfam by way of RNAcentral